AAAACCUUAAGUUAAAAAAACUAUUAACCUUCAAAGUUAAAUAUACAUUUAUAAAUGUAGGUUUUA
RNAcentral lists this transfer RNA (66 nucleotides) under Agramma hupehanum. Its description in RNAcentral is "tRNA-Trp". Lineage: Eukaryota; Metazoa; Arthropoda; Insecta; Hemiptera; Tingidae. The record is from RNAcentral.